AUGACAGGAGAGUGUUGUUACUGAAGCAACAUGCAGAAGCUGUCUUUCUCUGAGAAUCAGCAUGAAUGUACCACAGGUGACAGAGGAAUUGUGUUCCUAAGAGAAGGUCGAGAUGCAUCAGAUUCUGGUUGUGAGUCAACAAACUAGAUAUACCCCGACAGUCAUCAGGGAAGGUGACAGAUCUCAACCUUCAGAAGAAAAAAUAUGCAGAAGGGAUUACAAAAUCAUCUCUAUCUCUGGUUACAGCACCCCUCUCUAUUCAUAUUCAACUCUUGGAUACUACCAUAAAAGCUAGAACUCAACUAAGUAAUUCAAAACAGAGCAAGGGAAGUAGAAAUGGUGAUGAACCAGGACGGAGAAGAUCUGGUUCCAGAAAUUAUAAUUAACAUGAACUAGUUGGUCACCUGGAACUUAAUUACAGCACUACGCUGAAAUAAGGUAAUAGAUGUGAUAAGCUGUACGUCCUCUGCCAACUCAAGAAAUUUUUAGUCCACCUUGUUCUUCACACUGUCAACUUUUAACUGGACAUUUCCAAAUACUGCUCUCCUGAGGCCCUGCAUUAAUAUGGCCCCGAUUCCGACUUUGGACCAGACAGCCAAUGUUGUCAACUCUUUCUGAAUGAUAUUCAGGAACAGGUUGGGUAUUAGAAGAUAUUAACAAAAGUUGAACAAUGUUCCUCUGGAAGAUAAGCCCCCAUGAUACUUCAAAAGCUCAAAUGCUGACAAAAAGCCUAUCUACUCACCCAGCACCACCUCCUGAAUUGGUGCCUCUCCAGCCUCAGCAUCCUGUGGUCCCAUUUUCUGGGCUGUCCCUGCAACAAGUUCCAACAGAAUCAUAUUUUCCAAAAUCAAAUAUUUUAGGUGAUGGACAGAACAGGAUCCAGCAUUUCUACUCAGUGCUCCAGUUCUGAGACUAUCUGGGUUAAAAGAAACUAGAGGCAACAGAGCCUCAAACCCCACCAGCUUAGCCAAGGGAGGAAAUGAUGCAGUGCAAACAAAACUUGCCAUUCCUUCUACUCUGCAGGUCUAGCCCAAAUGGUGUAGUACGAGUCUGUUUCCUUGCCUAUGUUGACCUUAGAGCAAGAUGAAGAUGCACAAAGCAUAUAAUGGAUACACACUUGUAACUGUAAAGCCUUGUAUAUGAGCAAUGGAUUUUAAAGUCUAUAAUACUGAGAUUGCUAAAAAUACUUGCUUUGUUUUGUCUUUUAGUAAUUUAUAGCCCAUUAUAUUUCAGCAAAUAUUUUAAAGCAUAUUUGAGAUUUCUCAGAAUUUAACCUAUGACUAUCAUUUAGGCAAAGGCCAUUAGAUGGGAUAAUUCCCAUCGGUCAAUUCCUUUAGUCAUUUUAAUAGGUACAAAAAGUUAUCCCUGUAAAAAAGCCUGGCUGACAAAAAAAAAUAAAAAUAAAAAUAAAAAAGCCUGGCUGAGUGAUAUUACUCAAAAUCUCCUGCUUCAGUGUUGCCCAAAUGAUCUAAUAAGCUCCCUAUGUAUGAGACCACCACUAAGCCUAUGUCCCUUAGAGCAGUUUAAUCCCCAAGUCCCUCUAAAGAAUCAUUCGGAAGAGCUCUAGGAAACACUUCCUACUCCCUCCCCCCAGAUUUGUCCCCACUAUCACUCACAGUUGAUCUCUGCUGUUGCUCUCUGACACAGAUCUUUCAAGUUCAUCUUGCCAAAGAUUUUGAGAGUCACAUCCCAGGCCUGCCCUCCUGGAUAGUGUUUGUUAAUCAGUUCCUCCAAAUACAAUAGGAUCCCAAAAUCAGAAAAGAAGGAAAACGAUGACGAUGAAUCUGCCAUCUUGUCCAUGGAUCAGAAUUCAGGCUUCAGUGGGGAAAAAGAAAUUUUUAAAAACAUGGAAUAAAUGGGACAUGUGGAAAAGUA
Non-coding RNA from Ictidomys tridecemlineatus (thirteen-lined ground squirrel), 1875 nucleotides. NCBI's taxonomy places the organism in Eukaryota, Metazoa, Chordata, Mammalia, Rodentia, Sciuridae. The record is from RefSeq and is a predicted model, not a curated record.